This 520-nucleotide unclassified non-coding RNA is filed under the name uncultured Entrophospora. RNAcentral's name for it is "SSU rRNA". It matches the Rfam family "Eukaryotic small subunit ribosomal RNA", at positions 569 to 1083 of the family's 1831-position model. The record is from RNAcentral. Lineage: Eukaryota; Fungi; Glomeromycota; Glomeromycetes; Entrophosporales; Entrophosporaceae.
CGCAGCCGCGGUAAUUCCAGCUCCAAUAGCGUAUAUUAAAGUUGUUGCAGUUAAAAAGCUCGUAGUUGAAUUUCGGGAUUGGCGCAUCGGUCGUGCCUCACGGGGUAUGAACUGGUGCAGUCAAUUUCUCACCUUCUGGAGAACCGCGAUGUCCUUAAUUGGAUGCCGCGGGGAACCAGGACCUUUACUUUGAAAAAAUUAGAGUGUUUAAAGCAGGCAUUUUUGCUUGAAUACAUUAGCAUGGAAUAAUAAAAUAGGACGGCAUGGUUCUAUUUUGUUGGUUUCUAGGACCACCGUAAUGAUUAAUAGGGAUAGUUGGGGGCAUUAGUAUUCAAUUGUCAGAGGUGAAAUUCUUGGAUUUAUUGAAGACUAACUACUGCGAAAGCAUUUGCCAAGGAUGUUUUCAUUAAUCAAGAACGAAAGUUAGGGGAUCGAAGACGAUCAGAUACCGUCGUAGUCUUAACCAUAAACUAUGCCGACUAGGAAUCAGACGAUGUUAAUUUUUAAUGUACUCGUUUGC